Molecule: ribosomal RNA, 230 nt
Filed under: uncultured bacterium
Lineage: Bacteria
Description: partial 16S ribosomal RNA
Rfam family: Bacterial small subunit ribosomal RNA
Source: RNAcentral
AAAGCGUGCGCAGGCGGCUUUGCAAGACAGAUGUGAAAUCCCCGGGCUCAACCUGGGAACUGCAUUUGUGACUGCAAGGCUAGAGUACGGCAGAGGGGGAUGGAAUUCCGCGUGUAGCAGUGAAAUGCGUAGAUAUGCGGAGGAACACCAAUGGCGAAGGCAAUCCCCUGGGCCUGUACUGACGCUCAUGCACGAAAGCGUGAGGAGCAAACAGGAUUAGAUACCCCUGU